RNAcentral lists this ribosomal RNA (265 nucleotides) under uncultured bacterium. RNAcentral describes it as "partial 16S ribosomal RNA". It matches the Rfam family "Bacterial small subunit ribosomal RNA", at positions 67 to 334 of the family's 1533-position model. The record is from RNAcentral.
CGGGCACCUAUCUUCGGAUAGAAGCGAGUGGCGAACGGCUGAAUAACACGUGGAGAACCUGCCCCCUCCCCCGGGAUAGCCGCCCGAAAGGACGGGUAAUACCGGAUACCCCGGGGUGCCGCAUGGCACCCCGGCUAAAGCCCCGACGGGAGGGGAUGGCUCCGCGGCCCAUCAGGUAGACGGCGGGGUGACGGCCCACCGUGCCGACAACGGGUAGCCGGGUUGAGAGGCCGACCGGCCAGAUUGGGACUGAGACACGGCCCAG